This 301-nucleotide ribosomal RNA is filed under the name uncultured bacterium. Its description in RNAcentral is "partial 16S ribosomal RNA". It matches the Rfam family "Bacterial small subunit ribosomal RNA", at positions 509 to 807 of the family's 1533-position model. The record is from RNAcentral.
CAGUCGCCGCGGGAAUACGGAGGGUGCAAGCGUUAAUCGGAAUUACUGGGCGUAAAGCGUGCGUAGGCGGUUCGUUAAGUCUGUUGUGAAAGCCCCGGGCUCAACCUGGGAAUGGCAAUGGAUACUGGCGAGCUAGAGUGUGUCAGAGGAUGGUGGAAUUCCCGGUGUAGCGGUGAAAUGCGUAGAGAUCGGGAGGAACAUCAGUGGCGAAGGCGGCUUACUGGCUCAUUCUAGACGCUGAGGUGCGAAAGCGUGGGGAGCAAACAGGAUUAGAUACCCGCGUAGUCCCUGUCUCUUAUAC